This 370-nucleotide ribosomal RNA is filed under the name uncultured bacterium. RNAcentral's name for it is "bacterial SSU rRNA". It matches the Rfam family "Bacterial small subunit ribosomal RNA", at positions 527 to 896 of the family's 1533-position model. The record is from RNAcentral.
AGAGGGUGCAAGCGUUAAUCGGAAUUACUGGGCGUAAAGCGUGCGUAGACGGUUACAUAAGUCGGGUGUGAAAGCCCCGGGCUCAACCUGGGAAUUGCAUUCGAGACUGCGUAGCUAGGGUGCGGAAGAGGGAAGCGGAAUUUCCGGUGUAGCGGUGAAAUGCGUAGAUAUCGGAAGGAACACCAGUGGCGAAAGCGGCUUCCUGGUCCAGCACCGACGUUCAGGCACGAAAGCGUGGGGAGCAAACAGGAUUAGAUACCCUGGUAGUCCACGCCAUAAACGAUGAGAACUAGACGUUGAAGGGGUAAGCCCUCCAGUGUCGUAGCUAACGCGCUAAGUUCUCCGCCUGGGGAGUACGGCCGCAAGGUUG